UGAGAAUAUGAAAAUAUACCUAUUCAUGUCACUGAUGGAGUGCUGAGGUUUAGAGGGUCUACACCAGAAGCUAAUGGUUAUAGGAGGAAGGUAUAUAGUGUGUGCAAUUAAGCUUGGAAUGUGUUGAGUGCAGCGAAGUGAAAUACAUGUGGCAGGUAUUGAUGAAGGGAGAGAGCCGUGGAUAACUGAUGGAAGGGGGUUGAGGUCAAAUCAGGUCACCUUAAGGGAGAAAUAUAAGUUUAUGGCCCGUAUCUCUAGUGUCCUGCCUAGCAGAUGUUAGGGUGAUGUUGCUGUUAAGCUACUGCGUAUCUAGUUUUGGUUGUGUUUAUUUGUGUGUGUAUAGUAUAAAGUAACUCUUUGAAAAGUCAACAAGUUUAUUUGAUCAAUUAAUCACAAGAGUUCUCAUAUUUGAAAUAGCUGUGCUGUAGUUACCUAUAUUUUCAGUAAGUUUAAUGUAGGGUGGACCACAUGGACAGCCCAUUAGUGGUCAAUGAAAAUAAGGUUAUUUUCUUCAGUGUCACUAGUGAUCUGUCACAACAUCACUCGUGAGUCUCCAUAUCCUCCUCUGUAGGUUUUUCUGUGUCCUACCAAACACACAUCAGUUUUCUCACAUGACAAUCUAUGUGUGGAGUUCACUUCACUGACGGAAGAAAGUGGAAAAUAUGUAUUUUUCUUUUAUUCUUCUCAUUUAUGCUACCGGUGUUGCGGUUAAAGAAAGUUGUGCAGAUUUGGUUCCCACUCCCACUAUUGUAUUUUCCCCUGGGUACAUCAAUGUAGCUACACCUGUUACAAUACGCUGUGAGUCACCAAAUGGCACAGAGUGCAAAUUCUACAAAGAUCACGACCCCAACCCUAUAAGGAAACUGGAUUACAAGCAGGGUGCUUGCCAGUUCAAGUUGUUCUGGAAUGAGUUCAAAAGGUGGAACAAGACUGAAGUAGAUCUCAGCUGUGUAAUUCUACAGAACAGAGAAGGUGAAACGAUCAAAACCUCAAAACCUAGUGAUGCUCAAAGACUUAAUGUGGGUGAUCCAAUUGGAAAGCCCAGUGUUCAUGUGUUUAAGAUUGGGAAAUACCUCAAUCUUCGAUGUGAGGCCAAGGCUGGCACCUCAUGCUACUUUUAUCUGAACAUUGGUGACUCACACUUUAAAAAACUACCCUACAAAGACAAUGUCUGUUUGGGGAGAGUGGCAGAAGAGGAACUGCUGAGGAAGAAGAGCAGUGCUGGAGAGAUCUUCAUCACCUGUGCUGUGGAGCUGGUGGUAGAGGGUGAAGAUACUGUGACAUCACAGCAUAGUGAACCCCUCGGUAUCACCAUAGAUGGAGCUACUAGUUCCCCAUCAACGUUCAGUUUAAUCACAACUGUUCAGGAGAAGACAAGCAGCAAUGUCACAGACCAAGGAAGAGGUACAAAGUUCCACGUCGUCAUCAGUCUGGGUACUUGUUCCCUUUUCCUGGUUCUGCUAGCUGGGUGUGUGCUGGGUGUUCUCCAACGCAAGUGUGGGGUUCAAGGCAGGCCUGUAAAUACUGGAAGCCCACCUGAACAGCAAGACCAAACCCCACCAUGUGUCUAUUCUGUCAUCACAAAGCCUUCUAGGGAUGAGGAAGAGGACACUAGUCUGCAAUACGCUACAGUGACAUAUACCGGUGACCAAGCUAGUUGUCAAUAUGCAACAGUGACAUCUACCGGUAACCAAGUUGAACCUGGGCGCACCAAGAUCAAGUUUGAAAUAGCUGGAGAGUACGCCCUCUUAGCAGAAUCAUAGAAGAAGAAACAUUUACUGGAUAACAUGUUUUGCCAUAGUUUACAGUUACAAUCCUAUAUUUUGUUUUCAUAUUGGAUCAUAAUUUACUCAUAGUACAAAAACAUAUCCUGCCACAAAAUCAAAGACUAAAGAUAUCUACUCCUUUCUGAAAACAAGCAUCUUCAACUAUUUGCAUUUUAGGUUAAAUGAAAUAAAUGAAAAGUACACUGUCUGAAACAUAAAAUAAAUGUUUUCCUUAAUUGAGUUACCGAAUCUAGUCAGCAGUCACCAAUCAGUAGUCACCAAUCUAUUUCACUCCUUGACAAGAGUCAAUAUAGACUCAAACCCACAAGAGGGUAGAACACAUGUCAAACUUUGCUUGUUACAUCUCUACAUCUCUCUCUCUACAUCUCUCUCUUUAACCAUGUCUGGUGUAUAUUAGUUUUCAGUGGUGGAAAAAGUACUCAACAAACAUACUUAAGUAAAAGUAAAGACACCUUCAUAGAAAAUGACUCAAGUAAUAGUAAAAAUCACCCAGUAAAAUUCUACUUGUGUAAAAGGCUAUAAGUAUUUGAUUUUAAAAUAUACUUCAGUAUCAAAAGUGAAUGUAUAACUCAUUUCAAAUUCUUUAUCUUAAGCAAACCAGAAUGCACCAUUUUCUUUUUAUUCUUCUUUUUUAUAGAAGGCCAGGGGCACACUCCAUCACUCAGCCAUCAGUUACAAACAAAUCAUGUCAGUUUAGUGAGUCCGCCAGAUCAGAGGCAGUAGGGAUGACAAGGGAUGUUCAGUUGAUAAGUGUGUGAAUUUUACAAUUUUUCUGUCCUGCUAAGCAUUCAAAAUGUAAUGAGUACUUUCGGGUGUCAAGGAAAAUGUAUGAAGUAAAAAUUACAAUGUUUUCUAAAGGAAUGUAGUGAACUAAAAGUAAAAGAAGACACAAAUAUGAAUAUAGUAUAGAUACCCCAAAAACUACUUAAGUAUUACUUUAAAGUAUUGUUACUUAAGUACUUUACACCACUGUUACUUUAAAAAAUAUGUUUUGUUAAUAUCACAGUUUACUUACAGUAUGUGACUUUACUUCCACCUGUUGAUACACUACCUCAUAUUUCCUCUCUCUGCUUCCUGAUUUUCUGCUACCCUCUUCCUGUAGUCUGUCAACAUCUGUUCCUCUCAGACCAUUUGCAAACCCACAUGAUAAUUGCAAUAAUUCAAUAAUAUUUUAAAUAUACUUUUUGCAAUUGCAAGCGGUUCCUGCCAGUUAGGCCCAACCUAAUCUGGAAUACCCAGAACAAAAUCUUGCAUGAACAUAACUCUCAUAACCUCUGUGCUCCCGACAGACGUAACAUGUUCGUUACAGAUCUUAGGACAGAUAUGCCCACCCAGAUCAGUCUUAUCUACCCCUGCAAUUGGAGCACAUUACAAACCUAUGACAGCUAUAGGUAUGAUAGUGUAUAUGAAAAUGAUGCACCAUCACAGAAGGGUCAUAGGUGGGAGCUAUUGUUUCACCAUAAAAGGAGAGAGGGGAGACACAAAAUACAGUGUGUCACUCUCACACUCACUACUGUGGCAUUGCCUGAGUCAUUAUCUACAGCCAACAGCUCCUGUGUAUAUUUCUAAAAACAUUUUCGAGAGCAGGUGAAGAUAGUCGCCCCAGAAAGCAUUUCUCAUUUCCAUAUAUCCUGUUUCACAUCUCUCUCUGCAUUAUACAUAAUAACAGGUGGCAGGUUUAAAGGACUCUUAACCGUGAUCCAAUGAAUGUGCUGCUGGUGCCUUAUGU
Molecule: long non-coding RNA, 3516 nt
Organism: Oncorhynchus kisutch (coho salmon)
Lineage: Eukaryota; Metazoa; Chordata; Actinopteri; Salmoniformes; Salmonidae
Source: Ensembl